GAUCAGCCCCCUGGAUGUCAGCCAGCUUCAGCCAUCAUUCCCUGACCAGGUGAGUAGCCUGAGCCGGUGUGGGAGGUUUUCUCAGGCUUGCCUGGGGACAGAGAUGUGGGUGAGGUUUAUGGGCAGGCAAAUGUGGCCUCCUGGUUAGACCUCCUGAUUAGCUCUCUCACAUCCAGAGUUUCUACCCCAUCUGAAACAGGGGUAAAUUGACCACUGGAGUCCUCUAAAUUUAAACCCCCAGACUAUGACGUAAUUUAGCCUGCAAGUUACAGUUACUGCUUGUGCUGGCUAAUUUUACAUCAACUCGACACCAGCUAUGUCAUCUAAGAGGAGAGGACCUCAAUUGAGAAAGUGCUUCCAUAAGAUUGGCCUGUAGGCAAGCCUACAGAGCAUUUUCUUAAUUAGUGAUUGAUGGGCCACGCCCAUUGUGGGUGGUACCACCCAAGGGCUGGUGGUCCUGGGUUCUAUAAGAAAGAAGGCUGAGCAAGCCAUGAAGAACAAACCAACAAGCAGCAUGCCUCCAAGUGACCUUGGCAUCAGCUCCUGCCUCCAGGUUCCUUCCCUGUUUGAGUUCCUGUCCCGACUUCCUUCAGUGAUAUACUAUGGUGUGGAACUGUAAGCUGAAUAAACCCUUUCUCCCCAUCUCCCUUUCGGUCAUGGAGUUUCCUCACAUUAAUAGUAUUCCAUUCUUUCUUUUCUGGGCAGGGCUCUAGGUUAGGGUACAAAAGAGGGCUUCU
Molecule: long non-coding RNA, 737 nt
Filed under: Rattus norvegicus (Norway rat)
Lineage: Eukaryota; Metazoa; Chordata; Mammalia; Rodentia; Muridae
Description: long non-coding RNA NONRATT003323
Source: RNAcentral